This 492-nucleotide ribosomal RNA is filed under the name uncultured bacterium. RNAcentral's name for it is "partial 16S ribosomal RNA". It matches the Rfam family "Bacterial small subunit ribosomal RNA", at positions 29 to 507 of the family's 1533-position model. The record is from RNAcentral.
AGUGAACGCUGGCGGUAGGCCUAACACAUGCAAGUCGAACGGCAGCACAGUAAGAGCUUGCUCUUACGGGUGGCGAGUGGCGGACGGGUGAGGAAUACAUCGGAAUCUACUUUUUCGUGGGGGAUAACGUAGGGAAACUUACGCUAAUACCGCAUACGACCUACGGGUGAAAGCAGGGGAUCUUCGGACCUUGCGCGAUUGAAUGAGCCGAUGUCGGAUUAGCUAGUUGGCGGGGUAAAGGCCCACCAAGGCGACGAUCCGUAGCUGGCCUGAGAGGAUGAUCAGCCACACUGGAACUGAGACACGGUCCAGACUCCUACGGGAGGCAGCAGUGGGGAAUAUUGGACAAUGGGCGCAAGCCUGAUCCAGCCAUACCGCGUGGGUGAAGAAGGCCUUCGGGCUGUAAAGCCCUUUUGUUGGGAAAGAAAAGCAGCAGGUUAAUACCCCGCUGUUCUGACGGUACCCAAAGAAUAAGCACCGGCUAACUUCGUG